RNAcentral lists this long non-coding RNA (232 nucleotides) under Coturnix japonica (Japanese quail). RNAcentral describes it as "lncRNA (ENSCJPG00005015914.1)". The record is from RNAcentral. Lineage: Eukaryota; Metazoa; Chordata; Aves; Galliformes; Phasianidae.
ACUGGAAAGAAGAGAAAAAAGAAAUAAUGCUGCAGCAAACAGUUUUUCUGAAAGAAGGUGAACUGAAGGCCAAAUAUACUGAGUACCGGGGUCCUGUUCAAUACUUGCUGAAGGCUGCCACAGAUGCAUGGUUCAUGGAGGAAAGAAGAGGCAAGGUCUGAGAAAAGACGGCAGCAACAGUUCAUGCCCAGUAUAAUGGUGUAAAGUGGGGCCAUAUCUGAAAAGAAUUUUC